This 585-nucleotide long non-coding RNA is filed under the name Cavia porcellus (domestic guinea pig). Its description in RNAcentral is "lncRNA (ENSCPOG00000040801.1)". Lineage: Eukaryota; Metazoa; Chordata; Mammalia; Rodentia; Caviidae. The record is from RNAcentral.
CUUGGGAGGAAUCAAUGCUGCCAUUUCUGCUUCUGUUUCAGAUGCUAAGAAGUUUUUGGUUUGAGGAUGGUAUCAAGAAGAUGUGGAGAAGCAGAGGAUUCUGAUCAAUCCAUGAACAAUUGCAGAUUUGUACCUUGUUCAGGAGACGUGCCUAGGCCCUGAAAAGGAAUGAUCAUUCUAAUGAGAAAAUUUGGCAAUGCCUGGCUAAGAUUCAUGGUGGAACCAUUGGAGGCCUUUAAGUAAUGUUGUAACCAUACUUCCAAUUUAGAAAGAUUUCACCAGAUAGGAUGGAGAAACAAUUGAUGCUGAAAGAAAGAUACUAUGAUAAAAUUUGAUUCAUGCAACCAAUCUUUAUCAGUGACCUCUUUUAUGCCAGACACUAUACCAAGCUGGAGUCUGGGAAUGCAGAAACGAAUAUACAGUCUAUUCCUCAUGACAAUUGCAAACCAGACCAAGAAAACGGUAAGGUCCUGGACCAAGAUUGUCCUCUACCCAACUUUGCUGUCCAUUGGAAAAAUAAUAUCCUUUUUCUCUCUUGAGGAAAGAUGGCUUCACCUUGCAGACUCUUGCAAAAAAUUAGUCUGA